Long non-coding RNA from Marmota monax (woodchuck), 809 nucleotides. RefSeq lists it as uncharacterized. Lineage: Eukaryota; Metazoa; Chordata; Mammalia; Rodentia; Sciuridae. The record is from RefSeq and is a predicted model, not a curated record. The transcript has 4 exons.
GUGGGAAGCCGGUCGUGGUAGUUGGGCUCUGAGGGAAUUCCUGAUGAGUUCGUUCCUGCUUGAUAAGUGGCUCGUGAAUUGUGCCCAGUCAGACUGCAGCACAAUAUUGUCCAGAGAUCAGGAUGGUGGUACAUGCAUAUAGUCUCAGCACUUGGGAGAUUGAGUAGAUUAAGUUCAAGAAUAGACUCCCAAAUGAAUGAUGGCUCAGACUAACUGCAAAGGAUCCUAGGAGCUGUGGUUUCCCUAUGGGUCCAGGAAGAAAAGAAGAUGGUGGAUUUUUGUGAGCAGGCAGCUAUUUCUGGCAUGGAUAUUGUUAUUCUCUGGACCUGAAGGAGAAACAUAGAUCCCUCCCCAUUUACCACACCACCACAGGUAGUAGAAGAAGAGCACCUGGAAAAAAAGUAGGUACUGGCUGGAUUUAUUUAUUUAUUUAUUUAUUUAUUUAUUUAUUUUUAUUGUGACUUAUUAUUUUUCAAUAUUUGUUUUUCGAUUGUAGUUGGACAUAAUACCUUUAUUUUAUUUGUUUAUUUUUUAUGUGGUGCUAAGGAUCAAAUCCAGGGCCUUGCAUGUACUAGGCGAGCGCUCUACCACUGAGCUACAACCCAAGCCCUGGAUUGAUUUAUUGAUUAAAGUGACAUUGCAAGACACCAGACAGUAGCUGGUCCCUUCACAGCAAUGCUUUACUGAGGGUGAUGGAGGACUGUGUGCAAGCCAGUGUAAACCUGGUGGAAGCCAAGGUGGCUCGUUUUUUGCUAUGAGCUAGAUAUGAAAUCAGCAGGAGUUAUGCCAAGUCCAAGAAACUCUGGGAG